RNAcentral lists this ribosomal RNA (478 nucleotides) under uncultured bacterium. Its description in RNAcentral is "partial 16S ribosomal RNA". It matches the Rfam family "Bacterial small subunit ribosomal RNA", at positions 28 to 507 of the family's 1533-position model. The record is from RNAcentral.
GAUGAACGCUGGCGGCGUGCUUAACACAUGCAAGUCGAACGAGAAGUGGAGACGGAAACCUUCGGGCGGAAGACUUUAUUUCGAGUGGCGGACGGGUGAGUAACGCGUGGGAAACCUGCCUCAUACAGGGGGAUAACAGUUGGAAACGACUGUUAAUACCGCAUAAGACCACAGCACCGCAUGGUGCGGGGGUAAAAACUCCGGUGGUAUGAGAUGGACCCGCGUUCGAUUAGCCAGUUGGCGGGGUAACGGCCCACCAAAGCGACGAUCGAUAGCCGAUCUGAGAGGAUGACCGGCCACAUUGGGACUGAGACACGGCCCAAACUCCUACGGGAGGCAGCAGUGGGGAAUAUUGCACAAUGGGGGAAACCCUGAUGCAGCGACGCCGCGUGAGUGAAGAAGUAUUUCGGUAUGUAAAGCUCUAUCAGCAGGGAAGAAAAUGACGGUACCUGAGUAAGAAGCCCCGGCUAACUACGUG